AUUUAUUUAGUAUAAUAAGGUACAAUUGACUUCCAAUCAAAAAGACUGGUCAGCCAGAAUAAAUA
Molecule: transfer RNA, 65 nt
Filed under: Matrona basilaris
Lineage: Eukaryota; Metazoa; Arthropoda; Insecta; Odonata; Calopterygidae
Description: tRNA-Gly
Source: RNAcentral